RNAcentral lists this ribosomal RNA (460 nucleotides) under uncultured bacterium. Its description in RNAcentral is "partial 16S ribosomal RNA". It matches the Rfam family "Bacterial small subunit ribosomal RNA", at positions 338 to 795 of the family's 1533-position model. The record is from RNAcentral.
CCUACGGGAGGCAGCAGUGAGGAAUAUUGGUCAAUGGACGAGAGACUGAACCAGCCAAGUAGCGUGAAGGAUGAAUGCCCUAUGGAUUGUAAACUUCUUUUAUAAGGGAAUAAAACGAGGCACGUGUGCCUUUUUGCGUGUACUUUAUGAAUAAGGAUCGGCUAACUCCGUGCCAGCAGCCGCGGUAAUACGGAGGAUCCGAGCGUUAUCCGGAUUUAUUGGGUUUAAAGGGAGGGUAGGUGGGUUGUUAAGUCAGUUGUGAAAGUUUGCGGCUCAACCGUAAGAUUGCAAUUGAUACUGGCAGUCUUGAGUACAGUUGAGGUAGGCGGAAUGCGUGGUGUAGCGGUGAAAUGCUUAGAUAUCGCGAAGAACCCCGAUUGCGAAGGCAGCUUGCUAAACUGAGACUGACAUUGAUGCACGAAAGUGUGGGUAUCAAACAGGAUUAGAUACCCGGGUAGUC